UAGUGACCGAUAGUGAACCAGUACCGUGAGGGAAAGGUGAAAAGCACCCCGGGAGGGGAGUGAAAUAGAACCUGAAACCGUGUGCUUACAAGUAGUCAGAGCCCGUUAAUGGGUGAUGGCGUGCCUUUUGUAGAAUGAACCGGCGAGUUACGUUAUGAUGCGAGGUUAAGUUGAAGAGACGGAGCCGUAGGGAAACCGAGUCUGAAUAGGGCGAAUUAGUAUCAUGACGUAGACCCGAAACCAUGUGACCUACCCAUGAGCAGGUUGAAGGUGAGGUAAAACUCACUGGAGGACCGAACCAGGGCACGUUAAAAAGUGCUUGGAUGACUUGUGGGUAGCGGAGAAAUUCCAAACGAACUUGGAGAUAGCUGGUUCUCUCCGAAAUAGCUUUAGGGCUAGCGUCGAUGUUAAGUCUCUUGGAGGUAGAGCACUGUUUGGGUGAGGGGUCCAUCCCGGAUUACCAAUCUCAGAUAAACUCCGAAUGCCAAUGAGAUAUAAUCGGCAGUCAGACUGCGAGUGCUAAGAUCCGUAGUCGAAAGGGAAACAGCCCAGACCACCAGCUAAGGUCCCAAAAUAAUUGUUAAGUGGAAAAGGAUGUGGGGUUGCACAGACAACUAGGAUGUUAGCUUAGAAGCAGCUAUUCAUUCAAAGAGUGCGUAAUAGCUCACUAGUCGAGUGACCCUGCGCCGAAAAUGUACCGGGGCUAAAACAUAUUACCGAAGCUGUGGAUACCUUUAUAGGUAUGGUAGGAGAGCGUUCUAUGUGCGAAGAAGGUGUACCGUGAGGAGUGCUGGAACGCAUAGAAGUGAGAAUGCCGGUAUGAGUAGCGAAAGACAGGUGAGAAUCCUGUCCACCGUAAGACUAAGGUUUCCAGGGGAAGGCUCGUCCGCCCUGGGUUAGUCGGGACCUAAGGAGAGACCGAAAGGUGUAUCCGAUGGACAACAGGUUGAUAUUCCUGUACUAGAGUAUGUAGUGAUGGAGGGACGCAGUA
Molecule: ribosomal RNA, 991 nt
Filed under: uncultured Symbiodinium
Lineage: Eukaryota; Dinophyceae; Suessiales; Symbiodiniaceae
Description: partial Bacterial large subunit ribosomal RNA
Rfam family: Bacterial large subunit ribosomal RNA
Source: RNAcentral